RNAcentral lists this ribosomal RNA (1290 nucleotides) under Yersinia enterocolitica. Its description in RNAcentral is "partial 23S ribosomal RNA". It matches the Rfam family "Bacterial large subunit ribosomal RNA", at positions 1659 to 2925 of the family's 2925-position model. The record is from RNAcentral. Lineage: Bacteria; Pseudomonadati; Pseudomonadota; Gammaproteobacteria; Enterobacterales; Yersiniaceae.
ACAGGUGGUCAGGUAGAGAAUACUCAGGCGCUUGAGAGAACUCGGGUGAAGGAACUAGGCAAAAUGGUGCCGUAACUUCGGGAGAAGGCACGCUGGCAUUAGGUAAAGGGACUUGCUCCCGGCGCCGAAGCCAGUCGCAGAUACCAGCUGGCUGCAACUGUUUAAUAAAAACACAGCACUGUGCAAACACGAAAGUGGACGUAUACGGUGUGACGCCUGCCCGGUGCUGGAAGGUUAAUUGAUGGGGUCAGCCGCAAGGCGAAGCUCUUGAUCGAAGCCCCAGUAAACGGCGGCCGUAACUAUAACGGUCCUAAGGUAGCGAAAUUCCUUGUCGGGUAAGUUCCGACCUGCACGAAUGGCGUAAUGAUGGCCAGGCUGUCUCCACCCGAGACUCAGUGAAAUUGAACUCGCUGUGAAGAUGCAGUGUACCCGCGGCAAGACGGAAAGACCCCGUGAACCUUUACUAUAGCUUGACACUGAACAUUGAGCCUUGAUGUGUAGGAUAGGUGGGAGGCAUAGAAGUGUGGACGCCAGUCUGCAUGGAGCCAACCUUGAAAUACCACCCUUUAAUGUUUGAUGUUCUAACUCGGCCCCGUAAUCCGGGGUGAGGACAGUGUCUGGUGGGUAGUUUGACUGGGGCGGUCUCCUCCCAAAGAGUAACGGAGGAGCACGAAGGUUAGCUAAUCACGGUCGGACAUCGUGAGGUUAGUGCAAAGGCAUAAGCUAGCUUGACUGCGAGAGUGACGGCUCGAGCAGGUACGAAAGUAGGUCUUAGUGAUCCGGUGGUUCUGAAUGGAAGGGCCAUCGCUCAACGGAUAAAAGGUACUCCGGGGAUAACAGGCUGAUACCGCCCAAGAGUUCAUAUCGACGGCGGUGUUUGGCACCUCGAUGUCGGCUCAUCACAUCCUGGGGCUGAAGUAGGUCCCAAGGGUAUGGCUGUUCGCCAUUUAAAGUGGUACGCGAGCUGGGUUUAGAACGUCGUGAGACAGUUCGGUCCCUAUCUGCCGUGGGCGUUGGAAGAUUGAGAGGGGCUGCUCCUAGUACGAGAGGACCGGAGUGGACGAAUCACUGGUGUUCGGGUUGUCAUGCCAAUGGCAUUGCCCGGUAGCUAAAUUCGGAAGAGAUAACCGCUGAAAGCAUCUAAGCGGGAAACUUGCCUCGAGAUGAGUCUUCCCUGGGGCUUUAAGCCCCCUGAAGGAACGUUAAAGACGAUGACGUUGAUAGGCUGGGUGUGUAAGUGCAGCGAUGCAUUGAGCUAACCAGUACUAAUGAACCGUGAGGCUUAACCUU